ACUCCAUCCAAAAACUGAGUUUCUGAUUUUGUCUGUAACACUUCCCACUCUUUUUCAAUGGCUGCUGAAACCAUUUCAAGAUCGAAUUACCAGCUCAAAGCCUUACAUGUGUUGGGCCUCUUUUGUCUAAUGCUGUUGUUUCAGAAAGGUAAUGCAACCCAAUUCACAGUUGGAGGAGAUAAGGGUUGGACUGUCAGCGGCAAUGCCAGUGCAUACAACUACAAUCAGUGGGCAGAAAGAACCAGAUUUCAAAUCGGAGACUCCCUAUGUAAGUUGAUGUUUAUAACAUUUAUAUCUUAAAAUAUGAUAGAUCAUCACAAAGCAGCUGGAAGUCUCGUGCAUCGAGGACGCCCCUUUUUAUAUAUUAAAAUCAUCUUAAUAGUGUAAAAAAUUUACUUGAUCCAUUCAUAUAUGGGUGUGAAACUGCAGUGUUUGUGUACAAGCCAGACCAAGACUCAGUGCUUCAGGUAACCAAGGAAGACUAUGACAAUUGCACUACAACAGCAGCUCUUGCCACCUUCAACGAUGGUCACACAGUCUUCACGUUCAAUCGAUCAGGGCCUUUCUACUUCAUUAGUGGAAACAAAGAAAAUUGUCUUAAGAGUGAGAAGAUGGUGGUAAUUGUUUUGGCAGACAGAAGCAAUCAUUCCUCCAACACAAAUGUAACAAGCGCAGCUUCAUCUCCUGCACCUGCUGGCGAGGAGGCUCCUCCUACAGGAACAGUUGAGAUAAACCCAACUCCAUCUCCUACAGGCCAGCCACCGAGUGCAGCUUCUUCCACACUCAUUAGUUUCACUGGUUGCAUUGGAGCAUUCUUUGCUUCAUCUCUUAUUUUAGUAUACUAAGUGGUGUUGCAUUAUAUGCAGUUUCACUAU
RNAcentral lists this unclassified non-coding RNA (875 nucleotides) under Hevea brasiliensis (rubber tree). Lineage: Eukaryota; Viridiplantae; Streptophyta; Magnoliopsida; Malpighiales; Euphorbiaceae. The record is from RNAcentral.